UUAAAUUGAAGAGUUUGAUCAUGGCUCAGAUUGAACGCUGGCGGCAGGCUUAACACAUGCAAGUCGAACGGUAACAG
Molecule: ribosomal RNA, 77 nt
Filed under: Escherichia coli
Lineage: Bacteria; Pseudomonadati; Pseudomonadota; Gammaproteobacteria; Enterobacterales; Enterobacteriaceae
Description: partial 16S ribosomal RNA
Rfam family: Bacterial small subunit ribosomal RNA
Source: RNAcentral